UACCCCCUUUUCACUUUGCCAAUUGGACUUAAUGUCUUUAUUGGUCAUUCAAGUGGGGCAAAGGAAAUAAUCCUUUUAAAACUCAGGCAAACUGGGUGUUUGUCUUGUAUCCUGUCAGAGGAAACAUUG
Aotus nancymaae (Ma's night monkey) is the source of this 129-nucleotide small nucleolar RNA. The record is from Ensembl. Lineage: Eukaryota; Metazoa; Chordata; Mammalia; Primates; Aotidae.